This 182-nucleotide ribosomal RNA is filed under the name uncultured Streptococcaceae bacterium. RNAcentral's name for it is "partial 16S ribosomal RNA". It matches the Rfam family "Bacterial small subunit ribosomal RNA", at positions 158 to 334 of the family's 1533-position model. Lineage: Bacteria; Bacillati; Bacillota; Bacilli; Lactobacillales; Streptococcaceae. The record is from RNAcentral.
CGGUAGCUAUACCGCAUAACAGUAGAUAUCGCAUGAUAUUUGCUUGAAAGGUGCAAUUGCACCACUACCAGAUGGACCUGCGUUGUAUUAGCUAGUUGGUGAGGUAACGGCUCACCAAGGCAACGAUACAUAGCCGACCUGAGAGGGUGGAUCGGCCACACUGGGACUGAGACACGGCCCAG